RNAcentral lists this long non-coding RNA (613 nucleotides) under Fukomys damarensis (Damara mole-rat). Its description in RNAcentral is "lncRNA (ENSFDAG00000027838.1)". The record is from RNAcentral. Lineage: Eukaryota; Metazoa; Chordata; Mammalia; Rodentia; Bathyergidae.
GUUUCGCACAAUGCGUCCAAGAGGAACUGAAUGUUACACUGGAUGCCAGCCAUGGAUGGCAGGCUGAUGAACUCAUGAACCAUUCCAUUGCACGUGGUUGGUCUCAAGCUGGGUUUCGUUGGAGCCCAUGGCAGCAUCAGUGAAACCAAAAAGUUUGGCAGGAGGCAUCCAUGGAUGUCCUGCGACUCAUCUCUCGGCUGGCUGGCUAGAGACUGGAGCGCUUCACACACAAUGGGCUGUAUGCAGGCUUUGGAGAGCAGGAGUGCCCGGCCUGCCCAUUUGUCAUACCGAUUCUCCCUGAUGGAUCCUUGCCUGACAGUGACCUCACAUCAUGCUAGCCGGCAGCUCAACAUCGCUGUGCAAGGAGAACGAUGCCAGGUGGUUCUCACAAUGCGUCCAAGAGGAAGUGAAUGUUACACUGGAUGCCACCGUGUGAGUGCAGGUUUCAUAGUGGCCAAAUGAACCUCAACUGUCUUGUGCUCAAAAUCCAGGGGCCUGGCAGUCUCACACUGUGACGAGGAGCUCCUCAAGUUGCACAUGCCUGCAGUUCAUUAGGAGUGGGACAUGUUGGCCAUUCUAGGUAGAACCCAUUGCUUCAAAUCAUUGAUUCGGG